AGGGGAUGCGCUUGCUGCUUGACAAUGUUCGAAGUGGCGCUUGUCGACUUCGUCUAGUUUGAAUGGGCCUGGGGAGCGAUGAGUCAUCGUGUUGACGAAACGCGUCGCGCGACUGAGGUGGUAUGGCGGCGGCUGUCGAUGCGUCUUGCUCUGGUAUUUGUUAUCAUUGGUGUAUAUACGGUUUGUGACUUUUUUUUUAUUUUUCGAUUUUCUGCGCUUUUUCUUGUUUGGAGUGUUCAUUCCGUGUAAACAACAACGUUCGAUGUUUUUUCUGAAUUCUUAUUUUAUACCAACUGAUAUAAAUACGAUUUUUAACUUGGACCGGACUUUAACUUUUUCGCUGCUGUUGCGUUCAUUUUGGCGCACCCUGUAUAUAUACUCUGUUAUAAGUAAAGACCGGAUUUUCAUGCAGCUAAAACCGACAAAAUAUGCCAUAAAAUAUGCAGUAACAAAAGGUGAAAUAUGCAGAAUAUAUGCAAU
This 480-nucleotide long non-coding RNA is filed under the name Androctonus crassicauda. The record is from RNAcentral. Lineage: Eukaryota; Metazoa; Arthropoda; Arachnida; Scorpiones; Buthidae.